This 252-nucleotide ribosomal RNA is filed under the name uncultured bacterium. RNAcentral describes it as "partial 16S ribosomal RNA". It matches the Rfam family "Bacterial small subunit ribosomal RNA", at positions 524 to 775 of the family's 1533-position model. The record is from RNAcentral.
UACAGAGACUGCAAGCGUUAUUCGGAUUCACUGGGCGUAAAGGGUGCGCAGGUGGCCAAGUGUGUUAGGCGUGAAAGCCCGGGGCUUAACCCCGGAAUUGCACCUAAAACUACUUGGCUAGAGCAUUGGAGAGGGGAGCAGAAUUCAUGGUGUAGCAGUGAAAUGCGUAGAUAUCAUGAGGAAUACCAGAGGCGAAGGCGGCUCCCUGGACAAUUGCUGACACUCAGGCACGAAAGCGUGGGGAGCAAAGGG